GGCAAAGCUCAAUUUGAAAUCUGGCACUUCGGUGUCCGAGUUGUAAUUUGAAGAUUGUAACCUUGGGGUUGGCUCUUGUCUAUGUUUCUUGGAACAGGACGUCACAGAGGGUGAGAAUCCCGUGCGAUGAGAUGCCCAAUCCUAUGUAAGGUGCUUUCGAAGAGUCGAGUUGUUUGGGAAUGCAGCUCUAAGUGGGUGGUAAAUUCCAUCUAAAGCUAAAUAUUGGCGAGAGACCGAUAGCGAACAAGUACAGUGAUGGAAAGAUGAAAAGAACUUUGAAAAGAGAGUGAAAAAGUACGUGAAAUUGUUGAAAGGGAAGGGUUUGAGAUCAGACUCGAUAUUUUGUGAGCCUUGCCUUCGUGGCGGGGUGACCCGCAGCUUAUCGGGCCAGCAUCGGUUUGGGCGGUAGGAUAAUGGCGUAGGAAUGUGACUUUGCUUCGGUGAAGUGUUAUAGCCUGCGUUGAUGCUGCCUGCCUAGACCGAGGACUGCGAUUUUAUCAAGGAUGCUGGCAUAAUGAUCCCAAACCGCCCGUUCUUGAAAACACGGACCAAGGAGUCUAACGUCUAUGCGAGUGUUUGGGUGUUAAAACCCGUACGCGUCAAUUGAAAGUGAACGUAGGUGAGGGCUCUUUUGAGUGCACUCAUCGACCGAUCCUGAUGUCUUCGGAUGGAUUGAGUAAGAGCAUAGCUGUUGGACCCGAAAG
RNAcentral lists this ribosomal RNA (704 nucleotides) under Meyerozyma guilliermondii. Its description in RNAcentral is "eukaryotic LSU rRNA". It matches the Rfam family "Eukaryotic large subunit ribosomal RNA", at positions 101 to 822 of the family's 3401-position model. The record is from RNAcentral. Lineage: Eukaryota; Fungi; Ascomycota; Pichiomycetes; Serinales; Debaryomycetaceae.